CAAAGGCUCCAACAUUUGCGGUGGUUUCUCGUCGAUCGUAAGUUUAAUUGUAAGCGACAUGAAUUGGAACUGUGAAAUAGGUAACGAAUAUGUAAUACAAGGGAAACAUCAAAAACUUUGGAACGAGAACGAAAGGGACAGAAAGUUCAGCACGGCCAGAAGUAUGGGAUGUGAUUUUUUAAGUUAUAAUUAUAUCAAUUAAAGUGAUUAGCUAUGAAAUGUAAUUGAUAAUUUAUUAAAAAAAAUUCAUUAUACUAUCAUUUAAAAACCA
Aedes aegypti (yellow fever mosquito) is the source of this 271-nucleotide long non-coding RNA. RefSeq lists it as uncharacterized. The record is from RefSeq and is a predicted model, not a curated record. The transcript has 3 exons. Lineage: Eukaryota; Metazoa; Arthropoda; Insecta; Diptera; Culicidae.